Molecule: ribosomal RNA, 463 nt
Filed under: uncultured bacterium
Lineage: Bacteria
Description: partial 16S ribosomal RNA
Rfam family: Bacterial small subunit ribosomal RNA
Source: RNAcentral
GACGAACGCUGGCGGCGUGCUUAACACAUGCAAGUCGAACGGUGAACCUCUUCGGAGGGUAUCAGUGGCUAACGGGUGAGUAACACGUGGACAACCUGCUCCCGGCUCUUGGAUAACUCCAAGACAUUGGGGCUAAUACCGGCUGUUCACCGCUUCCCGCAUGGGUGGUGGUGGAAAGGGUUUCCGGCUGGGGAUGGGCCCGCGGCCUAUCAGCUUGUUGGUUGGGUAGUGGCCUACCAAGGCGAAGACGGGUAGCCGGCCUGGGAGGGUGACCAGCCACAAGGGGACUGAGAGACGGCCCAGACGCGUACGGGAGGCAGCGGGGGGGAAUAUUACGCAACGGGGGGAAGCGUGAGGAAGAGACGCCGCGUGGGGGAUGAGGGUCUGUGGGGGAUAAACCUCUUUCAGCAGAGACGAAGCGGAAGUGACGGUACCUGAAGAAGAAGCACCGGCUAACUACGUG